Molecule: long non-coding RNA, 532 nt
Filed under: Mytilus galloprovincialis (Mediterranean mussel)
Lineage: Eukaryota; Metazoa; Mollusca; Bivalvia; Mytilida; Mytilidae
Source: RNAcentral
GGGGUAACAAACAAAAACUGACGGAAACGCAUAAAUAUAAGAGGAGAACAACGACACAACACUACAAUGUCACUAACACACACAGAAACGGACCAAGCAUCAGACAAAAUCCCACGAGAAUAACAAAUAUAACAUCAAAACCAAAUACAUGGAUUUGGGAUAGACAAGUACCGUGACACGUCUUAUCGCAAUGUCAAUUUACACUCAAAAAUAAGAGAAAACAAACGACGCAACGUUAAAUUAUAACACACACAUAAACGAACUAUACUAUAAGAAUGGCCAUAUUCCUGACUUGGUACAGGACAUUUUUAAAGGAAAAAAUGGUGGGUUGAACCUGGUUUUGUGGCAUGCCAAACCUUGCACUUUAAUGGCAAUGUUAAAUAUAACAUAGAAAUGACAACAUAAUAUUACAGGACUACAAUACAAAUAAAUAGGAAAACGUAUUAGACAAAGAAACACAUGAUUAAUGAAUAACAAAAAGCAUCAGGUUUAAAAUUUAAUACGCCAAAAACGCGCCUCGUCCACACAAGAC